This 378-nucleotide ribosomal RNA is filed under the name uncultured bacterium. Its description in RNAcentral is "bacterial SSU rRNA". It matches the Rfam family "Bacterial small subunit ribosomal RNA", at positions 362 to 758 of the family's 1533-position model. The record is from RNAcentral.
UAUUGGACAAUGGGCGAAAGCCUGAUCCAGCAAUGCCGCGUGAGUGAUGAAGGCCUUAGGGUUGUAAAGCUCUUUUACCCGGGAUGAUAAUGACAGUACCGGGAGAAUAAGCUCCGGCUAACUCCGUGCCAGCAGCCGCGGUAAUACGGAGGGAGCUAGCGUUGCUCGGAAUUACUGGGCGUAAAGCGCACGUAGGCGGCUUUGUAAGUUAGAGGUGAAGGCCUGGAGCUCAACUCCAGAAUUGCCUUUGAUACUGCAUCGCUUGAAUCCAGGAGGGGUGAGUGGAAUUCCGAGUGUAGAGGUGAAAUUCGUAGAUAUUCGGAAGAACACCAGUGGCGAAGGCGGCUCACUAGUCAGUAUUGACGCUGAGGUGCGAAA